RNAcentral lists this ribosomal RNA (405 nucleotides) under Triticum aestivum (bread wheat). RNAcentral describes it as "partial small subunit ribosomal RNA". The record is from RNAcentral. Lineage: Eukaryota; Viridiplantae; Streptophyta; Magnoliopsida; Poales; Poaceae.
AUGCAACGAUUGAAACGAAUCAAACCAAGACUAUGUUUUGGGGAAGUUACAGACUACCACAACAAGUCCGUGGAAGUGCAAUCAAGCCGUACACAAGGUUCUCUUGGGUAUCCUUGGAGCACCAUUCAUGACCAAUGCAACCGAUGGUCCGAUUGCAUCAAUCAAGUGAAUCAUGCACCACCAAGUGGUGUGCAAGUGGCGGAGUAUGGCCCCUACAUCAAAGAACUAUUCAAGCAUAGGAACACAAGUUCGGCCACAAGCCCUUCAUGUUGCUCAUUGCUACAAAGAGCUAUGCAAGAACGAGAAGUGGAUCCAAAGAUUUCCGGAGACCACUCCAAAGAGACAAGGUUGAGCAUAUCCGUUGAGGAGGACAACGAGGUUGAUGAAGAGGCCAACAAUAUAUAG